AGCAGCCGCGGUAAUUCCAGCUCCAAUAGCGUAUAUUAAAGUUGCUGCAGUUAAAAAGCUCGUAGUUGAAUUUCGGGAUCAAUAUGUUGGUCGUGCCUCGGUACGUACUAGCUUAUUGGUUUCUCCCUUCUGACGAACCAUGAUGUCAUUUAUUUGGUGUUAUGAGGAAUCAGGACUGUUACUUUGAAAAAAUUAGAGUGUUUAAAGCAGGCUCACGCUUGAAUACAUUAGCAUGGAAUAAUGAAAUAGGACGUUUGAUUCUAUUUUGUUGGUUUCUAGGAUCGACGUAAUGAUUAAUAGGGAUAGUUGGGGGCAUUAGUAUUCAAUUGUCAGAGGUGAAAUUCUUGGAUUUAUUGAAGACUAACUACUGCGAAAGCAUUUGCCAAGGAUGUUUUCAUUAAUCAAGAACGAAAGUUAGGGGAUCGAAGACGAUCAGAUACCGUCGUAGUCUUAACCAUAAACUAUGCCGACUAGGGAUCGGAUGAUGUUAAUUUUUUGAAUGACUCAUUCGGCGCCUUAC
Molecule: unclassified non-coding RNA, 520 nt
Filed under: uncultured Glomus
Lineage: Eukaryota; Fungi; Glomeromycota; Glomeromycetes; Glomerales; Glomeraceae
Description: SSU rRNA
Rfam family: Eukaryotic small subunit ribosomal RNA
Source: RNAcentral